AUGAGUCCGGGGUCCAUAGCUCUAAUGGGAUUCACCUGGCCACCGCCGAUGUCAAAUGGGUCAGCGGCUUUGCGAUUUGGGCCUUCGGCAGAUAUGUCUGUUCCGUCUGUUCCAGUUUGGGAAGCUGCAGUUUCCUUGGGACCAAUGCUGAUGAAGGGAUUUGAUCAGUGCAGCAAUCCCAGCUACGUGGGGACAUGCCAUUGAAGUUCCUGAUAGCAGUGUAUAGUAACCAUUUCCGGAUUUGGAGUUAAAUGGUGGGAAGGCAGCUAAUAUGUCCACGCCGGGGGCAGCUACGUCGGGCUGUGCCCAAUUGAUGAAACAUUGUAAGAGGAGAUUUGAAGUUUUACUUCUCAGCUAUACCUUUAGAACAGCUGGGGUCAGGGAACUUGGCCCUCUGGAUGAGAAAGUGGCAACUCGUGGGGACGUCCAUUUGCCUAUCACAGUGUUUGGAGAACUCAGCUUUGCUAUUGGAGACCUUCAUAGUGGGAUGGACAAGCAAUAAAGGAAAUUAUUUGUGUCCCUACUUCGUAAUCCACUUUAACACAUGGGAUAUCACAUGAUUGAAGUCCAUCAUUGUGAGACUGGGCAAAAAUGACUCCAACUCCUCCUGCUUCCUGGACAGCAGUUGCUGCUGAAGCUAUAUCCUGCUGAUCAUAUAAGUCUGAAAAGCAUAGUACUAUUUUUCCUGCUGCUAAUGUUGCAUUUAGACUUCCAAGCUCGCAAUCCUUGCUUGAAUAUUUGUAACAGAAAUUAGUAAGAGAUUCAGAUUGUGCUUUUGUUUUUCAUUAUUUCAUUUUAUUAUUUGUAUCAUUUAAUUAAAAAGGAAAGUACAAACUUUAACUAGACGAGAAAUCUCACGCUGAAGAAUCGGUGGAGUCAACAGCUAUGCGCUCGGAGUAUGUAAUGCCAGCAAAACCAUGGUUAUGUCUUCCAGUGUCAAUAGAUUGGCCCUGCAAAGAGCAAAAACUAUUGAAGAAAUCUUAUUUCAUUUGCCCAAUUUUCAG
Molecule: long non-coding RNA, 1004 nt
Organism: Humulus lupulus (European hop)
Lineage: Eukaryota; Viridiplantae; Streptophyta; Magnoliopsida; Rosales; Cannabaceae
Exons: 4
Source: RefSeq, a predicted model, not a curated record